RNAcentral lists this ribosomal RNA (497 nucleotides) under uncultured bacterium. Its description in RNAcentral is "partial 16S ribosomal RNA". It matches the Rfam family "Bacterial small subunit ribosomal RNA", at positions 28 to 507 of the family's 1533-position model. The record is from RNAcentral.
GACGAACGCUGGCGGCGUGCCUAAUACAUGCAAGUCGAGCGAACAGACGAGGAGCUUGCUCCUCUGACGUUUGCGGCGGACGGGUGUGUAACAUGUGGAUAACCUACCUAUAUGACUGGGAAAACUUCGGGAAACCGGCGCUAAUCCCGGAUAAUAUAUUGAACCGUAUGGUUCAAUAGUGAAAUUCGGUUUUGCUGUCACUUCUAGAUGGAUCUGCGCCGCUUUAGCUAGUUGGUAAGUUAACGGCUUAUCAAGGCGACGAUGCGUAGCCGAAUUGAGAGAGUGGUCGGCCGCACGGGAAGUGAGACGCGGUCCAGGGGACUGCGAGAGGCAGCAGUAGGGUAUGUGCCGCAGUGGGGGAGAACCUGACGGAGCGACGCGGCGUGAGUGGUAGAAAUCUUCGGAUCGUGAAACUCUGUUAUGAGGGAUAAACAAAUGUGUAAGUAACUGUACACGUCUUGACGGUAACUGGUCAGAAAGCAACGGCUAACUACGUG